This 253-nucleotide ribosomal RNA is filed under the name uncultured bacterium. Its description in RNAcentral is "partial 16S ribosomal RNA". It matches the Rfam family "Bacterial small subunit ribosomal RNA", at positions 524 to 776 of the family's 1533-position model. The record is from RNAcentral.
UACAGAGGGGGCAAGCGUUGUUCGGAAUUACUGGGCGUAAAGGGCGCGUAGGCGGCCUUCUAAGUCGAACGUGAAAUCCCAGGGCUCAACCCGGGAACUGCGUCCGAUACUGGAAGGCUUGAAUCCGGGAGAGGGAUGCGGAAUUCCAGGUGUAGCGGUGAAAUGCGUAGAUAUCUGGAGGAACGCCGGUGGCGAAAGCAGCCUCCUGGACCGGCAUUGACGCUGAGGCGCGAAAGCCAGGGGAGCAAACGGG